CAGAGGAUGGAGUUGGGGCAGGGAGCACAGGAGACAAAACUGAAGGGCCAUGGGGACCAUGCCAAGACGCCUAGCUGUAGAUGUUUGCCCUUGUGAAAUGGACUCAGGAUUUCCCUUCCAUUCUUGGAGAACCUUCAGGAAAUUUUAACAUAGGUUCAGUACGACAGGACGUGUGCUGAAGCAGGAAGAAAUCGGAGAAGAAGGAUACAUGCACUCUAUUGUUAUUCCUCGGUAGCAUACACGGAUGGCUCUGGACAGCUCAAUAAGGCAAGAAGAGGCUAUCAGAGGCAUGAGAGUGGGAAAGGAGCUUAACCUUGUGAGGUCGCCAUGGAACUGCUCAGCCUGAGCCACCCACUGUGCCCUGCCCAUUUUAUGUGACCAGCAGAGACCCUAGUAAUGGGAUUUUCUCUGCUCACGGAAGUACAGGCUAACUGUGGUUGACUGCUGACCCAACUUUAUGAGGACGAUUCAGAAACAGUAUUCUUGUUACACAGCAAACCUGCCCUUUCCCUGCCCUAAACUUGUUCAAGAGAAUGAGGCCUGAGACAUGGAGACUCUCACGAAGAAAGCGGCUUUAACUGUCCAGCACGGCGUUCUCCUUCGCAGCUUCAAGUAGAAACUUGGCCUUUGAGACCAUAAUGGAUGCCAACAAGCCCCUCUCUCCAAUCUGAGAGUUGGGGACCAAACCCAUAGCCUCACAUAUAAACAAGUGCUCUACAUUGAUCCACAUUUCCAGCCCUAGUUCAAGGAAAUUCUGGAGGAACAUGCCUUAAAACCAGAUUGUAUGGGAUUCCUGCAGCCAAAACUCUGCCAAAUAUGAGAUCACAGCUCCCAAAUUACAGAACAUACAAGCAACCAUUCCACCACAAGUCAGAGUCAGCAGAGCAACAAGAGAAUUCUCCACAGUACUGGCUAUGUUCUCUAAAUAAAGUGGCAGAAUAGAACAAGGCAAGAAUUCUAAGCAGAGAUAGAUGAGAAAAGAAGGUGGAGUCAGAGAGAUUCCAUGUAGCUGCUAAAGGAGACAGCUGCUCUGGAAGCUUACAGGUCUUGGUGGCCAGGAAAUGAACAAGCAGCUUCCAUCAACAAAAUGGCACCAAGGUGGGCAACUACGUCCACAUAAAACCUGAGAGAGCUUGAAAAGAAAUUCUAUACACAAAAAUACAGAGUUUAGCCCAG
Myodes glareolus (Bank vole) is the source of this 1176-nucleotide non-coding RNA. The record is from RefSeq and is a predicted model, not a curated record. NCBI's taxonomy places the organism in Eukaryota, Metazoa, Chordata, Mammalia, Rodentia, Cricetidae.